RNAcentral lists this transfer RNA (73 nucleotides) under Colletotrichum tofieldiae. It matches the Rfam family "tRNA". From Rfam's summary of the family: Transfer RNA (tRNA) molecules are approximately 80 nucleotides in length. Their secondary structure includes four short double-helical elements and three loops (D, anti-codon, and T loops). Lineage: Eukaryota; Fungi; Ascomycota; Sordariomycetes; Glomerellales; Glomerellaceae. The record is from Rfam by way of RNAcentral.
GGGGGCAUAGCUCAGUUGGGAGAGCGCCUGCUUUGCACGCAGGAGGUCAGCGGUUCGAUCCCGCUUGGCUCCA